UACGUAGGGGGCAAGCGUUGUCCGGAUUUACUGGGCGUAAAGAGCGUGUAGGCGGCCACACAGGUCCGUUGUGAAAACUGGAGGCUCAACCUCCAGCUGUCGACGGAAACCGUAUGGCUAGAGUCCGGAAGAGGAGAGUGGAAUUCCUGGUGUAGCGGUGAAAUGCGCAGAUAUCAGGAAGAACACCAAUGGCGAAGGCAGCUCUCUGGGACGGUACUGACGCUGAGACGCGAAAGCGUGGGGAGCGAACAGG
This 253-nucleotide ribosomal RNA is filed under the name uncultured bacterium. Its description in RNAcentral is "partial 16S ribosomal RNA". It matches the Rfam family "Bacterial small subunit ribosomal RNA", at positions 524 to 776 of the family's 1533-position model. The record is from RNAcentral.